UACGUAGGGAGCAAGCGUUGUCCGGAAUCAUUGGGCGUAAAGCGCGCGUAGGUGGCUUCGUAAGUCCGUUGUGAAAGUCAAAGGCUCAACCUUUGAAAGCCGAUGGAUACUGUGGAGCUAGAGUACGGAAGAGGCGAGUGGAAUUCCUGGUGUAGCGGUGAAAUGCGCAGAUAUCAGGAGGAACACCAAUAGCGAAGGCAGCUCGCUGGGACGUUACUGACACUGAGGCGCGAAAGCGUGGGGAGCGAACAGG
RNAcentral lists this ribosomal RNA (253 nucleotides) under uncultured bacterium. RNAcentral describes it as "partial 16S ribosomal RNA". It matches the Rfam family "Bacterial small subunit ribosomal RNA", at positions 524 to 776 of the family's 1533-position model. The record is from RNAcentral.